GCAAAGGUAGCAUAAUCAUUAGUUCUUUAAUUGUGAUCUGGUAUGAAUGGCUUGACGAGGCAUAUACUGUCUUAGAAGUAUUGUUUGUUGAAUUUAGUUUUUGAGUUAAAAUUCUUAGAUGUUUUUAUGGGACGAGAAGACCCUAUAGAGUUUAACAUUUAUUUUUAUUAUAAUUUGUUGUUUGUUUUUAUUUUUAAUUGGGCUAAGUGUUUUGUUGGGGUGAUGGGAGGAAUGUUUUUAACUCCUCUUUGUUUUUAUAUAUUGAUUUAUAUUUUUUUGAUCCAUUUAUUUUGAUUAUAAGAUUAAAUUACCUUAGGGAUAACAGCGUUAUCUUCCUUGAGAGUUCUUAUUGGCGGGGAGGUUUGCG
RNAcentral lists this ribosomal RNA (367 nucleotides) under Sinocapritermes mushae. Its description in RNAcentral is "partial 16S ribosomal RNA". The record is from RNAcentral. Lineage: Eukaryota; Metazoa; Arthropoda; Insecta; Blattodea; Termitidae.